RNAcentral lists this ribosomal RNA (944 nucleotides) under Cibicidoides wuellerstorfi. RNAcentral describes it as "bacterial SSU rRNA". It matches the Rfam family "Eukaryotic small subunit ribosomal RNA", at positions 1213 to 1815 of the family's 1831-position model. The record is from RNAcentral. Lineage: Eukaryota; Foraminifera; Rotaliida; Anomalinidae.
AACGCGGGAAAUCUUACCGGGUCCGGACACACUGAGGAUUGACAGGCAAUAUUAAUACUUUGCUUCGGCAUUGUAUUAUGUUAAAUAUGCUAGUCCUUUCAUGAUUAUGUGAUAGGUGGUGCAUGGCCGUUCUUAGUUCGUGGAGUGAUCUGUCUGCUUAAUUGCGUUUCACUAAGGGCCUAUAAAUUUACGUAUGUUGUAUCGCACUUUGACCCCUUUCUUUAAUUAGAAAGCGCGUGUCUUAGWUUCGCUUUGCUCAUACAAUUAGGUCCUGAAAGCAACGAACGUGACCGCAACCUCUUGUUGCCUUUAUACCAAACAUGUUUAUUCAUUUUUUAAUGUUCAUUCAUGAAAAAAGGCUUUUUAAACUAGAGGGACCGCUGUUACUUUCUUAAACCAGAGGAAGGUUGCGGCAAUAACAGGUCUGUGAUGCCCUUAKAUGUUCCGGGCUGCACACGUGCUACAAUGAUUAUUGCAGUGAGCAUCUCAUUUUUACACACCGCAUGCGCGAGUCCAUUUAUUCACCUUCGGGUGUUUUAAAUGUGUACCUCUGCGCGCGGUAAAGCCUGCUUCGAAAGUAAGUGGGUAAUCAAUUAGAAGUAAUGAUUUCCUUUUUUAGCACMCAUAUAUACGGCGUCUAUGCCCGGGUUACCUUGUUGUAGCUUUUGUGUGUAUAGAUGUUUUUUCCGUAUGUGCGAUUGUCAAUUCAUGGUGGGGACAGACCAUUGUUAAUUGUUGGUCUCGGUCUUAACUAGGAAUGCCUUGUACGGGUCUUUGGUUCAACAAACCACCCGGAAUACGUCCCUGCCCUUUGUACACACCGCCCGUCGCUCUUACCGAUGGACUUCUCUGUGAGUUUGAGGGACUGGGAACGCAGGAAUUUAUUUCUGCACACCUAUGGAAACUUAAACGAACAGUGUGGUCUAAAGGAAAGAGAAGUCGAC